Taeniopygia guttata (zebra finch) is the source of this 339-nucleotide long non-coding RNA. RefSeq lists it as uncharacterized. The record is from RefSeq and is a predicted model, not a curated record. NCBI's taxonomy places the organism in Eukaryota, Metazoa, Chordata, Aves, Passeriformes, Estrildidae.
CUUUCCUAGGCAUGUAAGAAACACAAAUGCACACAAACACAGCAGCACAGGAAGAUGAAGACCAUGGAAAGAGGAGACAGGAGAAUGAGGUGAAAAAACCCAAAUAAUGCUUUUCUGUGGAUCUCCCAGGAGACAUUCAGAUCAUUUUAGCUGUGCUGAGACGCUAGUCUUAAGGAGUCUCCAGAUUUCUCAGCCCUGCAUUACUCUGUCAUCACAAGAGCUUUUCUGUCAGCAUAUGAGCUUUUCUCUACAUGUCAGUGACAAAAAUGUUGGCCUCAUUUACACUGCAGAAGAACCACACUUCAGUGCACAGCUGAAGUGAAAAUGAGUAGAAAGAAA